AAUCUAGAUACCCACAGCCCUCAAGGAUCACUCUUUAUGUAAAACUUAUGACAAACAUGAAACUGCAACUGACGUCAGAGCGUGCCUUCAACGGUACUCAGAGCGGAGUGGAGCGUGCCUGCGUCAUCCAGGGAACGGUCUUGUUUUUUUCAUGUUACCGUUAAAAAAAGCUGGAUUUCAUCUCUAUUUAGGGGCAGUUAAUCUGUGAAGAGGGGCAGAUUGUUCCCUAUUGUAUUGCUAUUUUGUUUUGUUUUGUUUGCCUUUCAGAUUGUUUCCUAUUGUUUGGCUUUCAGAUUGUUCCCUAUUCUAUUUUUGGUUUUUGGUUUUUGGCAUGGCCAUGCUCUUUCUUCCUCCUGCUUCUGAGUUUUGUGUGUGGAUGAUAAUUUUUCAAUGGUAAAUUAGUGUGACCAUGGUAGGCCUUGUUUUUUUGUUUGCUCAUAAUUUUUCUUCACCAGGAAGUUGCUCUGGCCUUCACAAGGUAGCUCCACAAUUGUGAAAGUUGCCCAUGGAGCUGGCUUAGAAGUAGCGGUGGGCUCAGGGUUGGUUGCUUAAUCAUGUACUGCUUUCUUGUUAUUCAUCAGAGAGGAGUUCAAGAAGAGCUAUAAAGAGGCCAACCCUAAAAUUGCCCAGAUGGGUAGCGCAGCAGCUCACCUGAAGUGGAAGUGGAAUUUGAUUGUGAUUGGCGUUACAAUCACCUGCAAUGGCUUUAUUGGAAGUGUCUUGCUUAGUAUUUUAGGCAUUAUGGAUGAAUGAUGAUGCAUUCCAUCUAAAGGUGCACAUUUCUGUCACAUUUAUUUAGUCUUUUAUUAAAAGAUGUUGAUUCAAUGGUUUUGAAUAUUGAAUGAGUUUUGCAGUGAGGCCUGCAAGAAGGAUGUGCCUCUAGCGACUACUGAUAUGCAUAACUACUAGCAGGAUGGGAAAAUCUGGACUAAUUUUGGUUUGUUGUUUUACGAUUGCUUAUAUAUUUUAUUUAUUCCCUUUUAGGUUUUGGUUUAUAUGUACUACCACUGUGUUAAUUUGUGCUAUAUGCAGGUGCAGAAACCCCAAUAGCACCACAAGAACCCAAGCGUUCAGAGGCUAAGAAACCAGCUGAAUUGUACUGCUUCGGCUUCUCUUUUUGUUUCGUAGAGUCUCAUGGUUUGAUACAUUUUACUAAAUCUGUUUGUUGAUGUUGGCUUUGUGAAUUUUGUUUUAGCAGAAAGAGGUCAAAGAGUAAGAUAUCUUUUAUUUGCUUGUAUUCAUGUACUCCAUGUCUUUUCCUUGUUUGAGUAUAUUUCAUUGUUUUUGUUUUAUUUAAUUAAUAGAAAAUCAUACAUUUGCUUUGUCUGCUUGUUGAACCUGUUUUAAUGGAAGGGAGGAGUUCAAGAAGACCUAUAAAGGGCAUUGCCCACGUAUCAAUUGAAUUGGCAUAUUUUUGUAUGUCGUGCAUGUGUAUUUCCUUCAUGUGAGUUGAUAUUUAGGGUAUCUGUGCCCAUGUCAAAGUUGUAUAUUUCUGAGAUGGCUCUGUGUCGAAUGGCACAUUUGUGUUAAUUGGUAUUUGUUGCUUGAUUUGGGCGUGAUAAGCAUUGGGCAUCUUUUUGUGAAUUAAAAUGUUAUGAUUAUGUUUAUGUACUUUUCUCUUCUAUGUAUCAACUGUAAGGAAGUUUCUGUUUGUUUUUUGUCUUAUCCUCUCAAAUCAUUCUUGGUUUGAAGAUACAUGUAUUUUUUUUUAUUGUCUACCAUGUUUGCAUGGGAGUAGUUCUACAUUGCAUUUUUUUGCUGGACUGUUGUUUGUGGCUUCGAUUUGAAGUGUCCAAAUUUUUAUUUGAAAUUUCUAUGGUGUUUGUGCCAUCUGUGCAUGUAUCAGUUUUGUCUGCUCCACUUGAUAGGCAUGUCAGUUGCACUAUGUGAGCUGUCUUAAAAUAUGCUUACUUGGAGUUGUCCUUAAAAUGUUAGUGGGUGGCAUUCAUCUAUGAUGCCUGCUAUUUUCGUAAAUGAUUUACUUUGGGGCUUCUUAAUACAUAUUUAUAUUACAAAGGGAAACUUCAAAUUGAAUAACAUCUUGUUUCUUAUUUGGGUCAUGUUCCACCUGCAGCUUGCCAAAGAUGGCGGUGAUAAGUGGAAGUCUUUGUCAGAUGAGGUUUGCAGCUAGGCUACCAUAUGGUUGGUAAAAUAUGUUGGUAGGUUGCAAAAUAUGUCAGAGGUUGAUGUCUUGGCUUUUUGUUUUUUGAUUGCUUUUAGGAGAAGAAGCAAUAUAUUGAGAAAGUAUUUGUUUUUUAAAUUUAAGUAUGCUAGUUUGUAUGUAUAUUGACAUCGUGUUUGCUUAUAUGAAAUAUAUGUUUGAACUUUGGUAUCCCUUUAAUUUAUUUGAGAGAAUUGUGACAAUUAUUUUUUUAUGAUUGCAAUGAGAGCUUGAACUUUUGCAUUCAUUUAUUUGAUUGAUUUACCAUUUGUGUGCUUAUAUACAUUUGAACUUUCUCAUUCACCUAGAGUGAGCCACUUCUUAUUUGUGUGUAAAGGCAUCCACUUAUUUAAGUGAGACAUGUGCUUGAAUUUUGACGUCCUUUAUUGUUUCAGUGAAUUUUGAUAUGACCCAUUUUGUGUUUGUGAGGUCUGUGCUUGAAUUGCUUUUAAAUUCACUUGGAUUUGAGCAACUUAUCCUUUGUGUGUAUUUGCAUCCACUUAUUAUUUGUGUGAAAUGUGGGUUUAAAUUUUGGAAUAUCCUUGGUUGGGUGAACUUAGUUUUAUCUUUGUUUGAAGAGUGUUUUUAACUUAGACGUACACUUUGUGUGUGUUAAGAAUGGGCUAGCCUGGGUAGUUUGAACUUUAUUGUUUACAUUAUAUAUGUAUGGAGUUUGUGUUUGAAUAAUCUCUGUGUGAGGUGUCCUUUAAUUUGGUAUCCCUUUAAUUUAUUUGAGAGAAUUGUGACAAUUAUUUUUUUAUGAUUGCAAUGUGAGCUUGAACUUUUGCAUUCAUUUAUUUGAUUGAUUUACCAUUUGUGUGCUUAUAUACAUUUGAACUUUCUCAUUCACCUAGAGUGAGCCACUUCUUAUUUGUGUGUAAAGGCAUCCACUUAUUUAAGUGAGACAUGUGCUUGAAUUUUGACGUCCUUUAUUGUUUCAGUGAAUUUUGAUAUGACCCAUUUUGUGUUUGUGAGGUUUGUGCUUGAAUUGCUUUUAAAUUCACUUGGAUUUGAGCAACUUAUCCUUUGUGUGUAUUUGCAUCCACUUAUUAUUUGUGUGAAAUGUGGGUUUAAAUUUUGGAAUAUCCUUGGUUGGGUGAACUUAGUUUUAUCUUUGUUUGAAGAGUGUUUUUAACUUAGACGUACACUUUGUGUGUGUUAAGAAUGUGCUAGCCUGGGUAGUUUGAACUUUAUUGUUUACAUUAUAUAUGUAUGGAGUUUGUGUUUGAAUAAUCUCUGUGUGAGGUGUCCUUUAAUUUGGUAUCCCUUUAAUUUAUUUGAGAGAAUUGUGACAAUUAUUUUUUUAUGAUUGCAAUGUGAGCUUGAACUUUUGCAUUCAUUUAUUUGAUUGAUUUACCAUUUGUGUGCUUAUAUACAUUUGAACUUUCUCAUUCACCUAGAGUGAGCCACUUCUUAUUUGUGUGUAAAGGCAUCCACUUAUUUAAGUGAGACAUGUGCUUGAAUUUUGACGUCCUUUAUUGUUUCAGUGAAUUUUGAUAUGACCCAUUUUGUGUUUGUGAGGUCUGUGCUUGAAUUGCUUUUAAAUUCACUUGGAUUUGAGCAACUUAUCCUUUGUGUGUAUUUGCAUCCACUUAUUAUUUGUGUGAAAUGUGGGUUUAAAUUUUGGAAUAUCCUUGGUUGGGUGAACUUAGUUUUAUCUUUGUUUGAAGAGUGUUUUUAACUUAGACGUACACUUUGUGUGUGUUAAGAAUGUGCUAGCCUGGGUAGUUUGAACUUUAUUGUUUACAUUAUAUAUGUAUGGAGUUUGUGUUUGAAUAAUCUCUGUGUGAGGUGUCCAUACUAACUUAAGCAUUUACUUUAUAGUGUUUUUAACUUAGACAUUUGUGUGGAAUAUGCUUGAAAGAGCUUUGUUUUUUGUUUGUAUGAAUAAAGUUUGGUUAUUAUUUUGUGUGGAAUGUACAAAUUAACUUUUGAAUUUGUGUGGCACGUGUGUAUAAAAACACUUUAAUUGUGUUUUCUAUGUGUGUGAAUGAACUUUGGUUUUCAUUGUUGCGUGUUUGAAAUAACUUGGCAUCCAUAUGAAAGUGUAUGAAUGAACUUUGAACUUAGAACUUAGGCAUUCACUAUUUGCAUGCUUGAAAGUUUAUAGCAUUCACUUCAUCUGAAGUGGAUGUGUGUGUGUGUGUGUGUGCGCGUGCGCGCAAGUGGGUGUGAAAGUUACUUUGUUAUUCACAUUGUGUGAAGUGUUUGACUCUAUGCUUGAACUAACUUUGACAUUAAUUUUCUUCCAGUAUAAAUAUACUUCGUGCAUGUAUGUAUUUGAUUUGAACUUUGGCAUCCCCUUAAAAUUAUUGAGUGAAUGUUGCAUUCAUUUUUGUGAGUGAAAUAUGAGUUUGGACUUUUGCAUUCAUUUAUUCAAUUGACUUACCAUCUAUAUUUGAACAUUCCCAUUCACUUGGUGUGUUUUGGCAUCCACUUAUUUGUGCAAGGUGCUUGAACUUUGACUUUGAGUAUGAACUCUAGUAUUCAUUGUGUGUGAGAGUGAAUUAUUUUCAACAUUUAAUUGAAUUUGAGCCAUUCAUUAUUCCUGUAAGAUGUGUGUUUAAUAUCCUUCCUAUUUGAAUGAACUUAAUUAUUCAUUUUUAUUUUUUUAUUUUUGUGUGAGAUAAAAAGUAAAACCAAUGUAUCUAGAUUUUAGAGGUCAGUCUAAUGCUAUCCUUGCAUUUAAAAACUUGCAUCCACUUCAGUUUAGUGAUACCUUGGAAUCUAUGGAUAGUAAGGUAAAAGAUAAAAUCAAUGUAUCUACAAUUAAAAUCUUCAAUGAGUUCAAAUUAACCCAAGAGCUCGUAUAUAGAUCCUUGAGUUAUGAUAAACUCUGGAUCCAAGAUUUUAUUCACUUUGCUUGUUAUGUUGGUGUUCAUAUUGUGCAUAUUCCUUUUCCUUUUUGGGUUUUUUUUUUUUUUAAUUGGUCUAUUAUUGAACUCACGAUAUGACUUGAAAUGAUCGUUAAGAUUUUUCUUCAAGGUUCCUUUGUUCCCUGGUGUCUUUAUUAUGAUCUCAGCCACAACUGUGUCUACUGGUUUGGCAUACAAUCCUUGUCUCUCAUUAGGCCAUGCUUCCUAUUCAUGCCCAGAGUAGUUUGGACUGAGAUGAUUCACUUGCUUAUACCCUAUGGCUCUCUUAAAUGCCUUGCUCGCAUACAUAAAUCGGCUCUCUUAAAUGCCUUGCUCGCAUACAUAAAUCGGCUCUCUUGUUCAUAAACUCUUGGUGUAAAUGUGUGUUGCAACCAAAACAGGGCUUGGAAUUUCCCUGUUAAUCUUUGUUGUGCAGUCCCUAUGUGCAAGAAAAAGAUUAUUACAAUUUUGUGUGUUUGAGGUAUACCUUGAAUGGUGGUGCUUUGAAUGGUGAUCUUUUUCCUUAUCCUUGCAUUUGUAGUUGAUAAAAUCUAAAUUUUCUUUCAAAUUUUUUCAUAAGUUUGAAGUACAUUGAUUUUUACGAAAUUCUUGAUCUGCUGGAGCCUCUCUUUCUAUUACUCUCAUGCAGAAUUCCCAAGCAUUCUACUGGUUUCCAUCUUUCUCGUGGCAGUAUUCCAUCCAUGACAUCUAGAUUUUAUUGCAAGUUUUUGUACAAUUUUUAAAUGGUUUUAAGUUUUCUAUGAAAGAAUCGGUUCCACCGAGGACAACCAAAUAUGAUGGCCAACUAAACCAAUAAUCUUAAUAGAUAGUCUCUAACUGUUAACUAAUGAAUAGUCUCCAUCUUUUCUUUCUUUAUCUAGAUUUAAAGUACUAUAACCCAUCAGAGGUAAAAUUAAAUGUUGAGUACUCCCAAAAUCUGAUUCAAUUCAGUCAAUGACAUAGUGUCAAAUACUUCUGUGUCUUCUAUGAUGUGGUUAGCUCGUGCUUUCAGGUAAAGUAGUUCUACUUUCUAUGGAACUACAUGUAGCCAAUUCCAUGAUAUUCUUUCUAAAUUAUAAAAAAUCACAGCCCUGUUUUUCACUUCAGUUUAGAUGAAUUAAACAUGUUGACAAAAUUAUAUUUUAAACGCAAAUUAGACACUACAUUUACUGUUAGGAGUUAUAAGCAAUUUCUAUUAAGAGUUUGACUUGGUAUUAUUUUUCUUUAUUAUGUUUCAGGAAGAGCUGCGGGCUCAGGGUUGGGUGUUUACUCAGGUACUUGGUGAGUUUAAGUGACAUAAGAAUAGGUUAUCAUAAAAAUGAAAUGAAAUUUAUAUUAAUUAAUAAGGAAAUUAUGUGAAACUUUUUGUGCCUUGAAUAUCAUAUUGUAAAGGAAAAUAUACUUCUCAUUUACAAAUUUGCAAGCCAAACAUGCACACUGUAGAUUUAGUCUUGUUUAUAAUAGUUUUAAGUUCAUUGUUUUAUC
This is a long non-coding RNA of Cryptomeria japonica (Japanese cedar), 6501 nucleotides long. RefSeq lists it as uncharacterized. Lineage: Eukaryota; Viridiplantae; Streptophyta; Pinopsida; Cupressales; Cupressaceae. The transcript is spliced from 4 exons. The record is from RefSeq and is a predicted model, not a curated record.